CCUUUGCUAGCGUGGAAACCGCCCGACGAGACGCGCCGUACCGGGCAGCCGGCAGCACCUUCGGAAAAGACGACGCACC
Molecule: non-coding RNA, 79 nt
Filed under: Streptomyces acidiscabies
Lineage: Bacteria; Bacillati; Actinomycetota; Actinomycetes; Kitasatosporales; Streptomycetaceae
Source: RNAcentral